UGGGGAAUAUUGCGCAAUGGACGAAAGUCUGACGCAGCAACGCCGCGUGGGUGAUGAAGGCCCUAGGGUCGUAAAGCCCUGUCAGGAGGGAAGAAGCUCUGACGGUACCUCCGAAGGAAGCACCGGCUAACUCCGUGCCAGCAGCCGCGGUAAUACGGAGGGUGCGAACGUUGUUCGGAAUCAUUGGGCGUAAAGGGCACGUAGGCGGCCGCGAAGGUCGGGUGUGAAAGCCCAGGGCUCAACCCUGGAAUUGCGCUCGAAACCGCGUGGCUUGAGUCCCGGAGGGAGAAGUGGAAUUCCAGGUGUAGGGGUGAAAUCCGUAGAUAUCUGGAGGAACACCAGCGGCGAAGGCGACUUCUUGGCCGAGGACUGACGCUGAGGUGCGAAAGCGUGGGGAGCAAACAGG
This 406-nucleotide ribosomal RNA is filed under the name uncultured bacterium. RNAcentral's name for it is "bacterial SSU rRNA". It matches the Rfam family "Bacterial small subunit ribosomal RNA", at positions 355 to 776 of the family's 1533-position model. The record is from RNAcentral.